GCGUGUGUCCAAUUCAGUCGGCAGAGCGUGAGACUUAAUCUCACGGUUGUGGGUUCGAGUCCCACGUUGGGCA
Molecule: non-coding RNA, 73 nt
Organism: Podarcis lilfordi (Lilford's wall lizard)
Lineage: Eukaryota; Metazoa; Chordata; Lepidosauria; Squamata; Lacertidae
Source: the annotation of a GenBank genome assembly